Molecule: ribosomal RNA, 853 nt
Filed under: uncultured bacterium
Lineage: Bacteria
Description: bacterial SSU rRNA
Rfam family: Bacterial small subunit ribosomal RNA
Source: RNAcentral
GACGAACGCUGGCGGCGUGCUUAACACAUGCAAGUCGAGCGAUGAAGCUUCCUUCGGGAAGUGGAUUAGCGGCGGACGGGUGAGUAACACGUGGGCAACCUGCCUCAAAGAGGGGAAUAGCCCUCCGAAAGGAGGAUUAAUACCGCAUAAAGUUAGAGUUUCGCAUGAAACUUUAACCAAAGGAGUAAUCUGCUUUGAGAUGGGCCCGCGUCCCAUUAGCUAGUUGGUAAGGUAAUGGCUUACCAAGGCAACGAUGGGUAGCCGACCUGAGAGGGUGAUCGGCCACAUUGGAACUGAGACACGGUCCAGACUCCUACGGGAGGCAGCAGUGGGGAAUAUUGCGCAAUGGGGGAAACCCUGACGCAGCAACGCCGCGUGGGUGAUGAAGGUUUUCGGAUCGUAAAACCCUGUUUUCUGGGACGAUAAUGACGGUACCAGAUGAGAAAGCCACGGCUAACUACGUGCCAGCAGCCGCGGUAAUACGUAGGUGGCAAGCGUUGUCCGGAUUUACUGGGCGUAAAGGGUGCGUAGGCGGAUGCUUAAGUGAGAUGUGAAAUACCUAGGCUUAACUUAGGGGCUGCAUUUCAAACUGGGCAUCUAGAGUACAGGAGAGGGAAACGGAAUUCCUAGUGUAGCGGUGAAAUGCGUAGAGAUUAGGAAGAACACCAGUGGCGAAGGCGGUUUCCUGGACUGUAACUGACGCUGAGGCACGAAAGCGUGGGUAGCAAACAGGAUUAGAUACCCUGGUAGUCCACGCCGUAAACGAUGAAUACUAGGUGUAGGAGGGUCCAACCUUCUGUGCCGCAGUUAACACAUUAAGUAUUCCGCCUGGGGAGUACGGUCGCAAGACUAA